This 253-nucleotide ribosomal RNA is filed under the name uncultured bacterium. RNAcentral's name for it is "partial 16S ribosomal RNA". It matches the Rfam family "Bacterial small subunit ribosomal RNA", at positions 524 to 776 of the family's 1533-position model. The record is from RNAcentral.
UACGGAGGGAGCUAGCGUUGUUCGGAAUUACUGGGCGUAAAGCGCACGUAGGCGGCUUUGUAAGUUAGAGGUGAAAGCCUGGGGCUCAACUCCAGAACUGCCUUUAAAACUGCAUCGCUUGAAUCCAGGAGAGGUGAGUGGAAUUCCGAGUGUAGAGGUGAAAUUCGUAGAUAUUCGGAAGAACACCAGUGGCGAAGGCGGCUCUCUGGGACGGUACUGACGCUGAGACGCGAAAGCGUGGGGAGCGAACAGG